This 520-nucleotide ribosomal RNA is filed under the name uncultured Acaulospora. Its description in RNAcentral is "SSU rRNA". It matches the Rfam family "Eukaryotic small subunit ribosomal RNA", at positions 569 to 1083 of the family's 1831-position model. Lineage: Eukaryota; Fungi; Glomeromycota; Glomeromycetes; Diversisporales; Acaulosporaceae. The record is from RNAcentral.
AGCAGCCGCGGUAAUUCCAGCUCCAAUAGCGUAUAUUAAAGUUGUUGCAGUUAAAAAGCUCGUAGUUGAAUUUCGGAAUCCAUCCGUCGGUCGGGCUUCACGGUCCGCACUGGUGUGAUGGAUUCCUACCUUCUGAAUAACCAGCAUGUCAUUAAUUUGGUGCGUUGGGGAAGCAGGACUGUUACCUUGAAAAAAUUGAGUGCUUAAAGCAGGCUAGUGCCUGAAUACAUUAGCAUGGAAUAAUGAAAUAGGACGGCAUGGUUCUAUUUUGUUGGUUUCUAGGAUCACCGUAAUGAUUAAUAGGGAUAGUUGGGGGCAUUAGUAUUCAAUUGUCAGAGGUGAAAUUCUUGGAUUUAUGAAGCUAACUUCUGCGAAAGCAUUUGCCAAGGAUGUUUUCAUUAAUCAAGUAACGAAAGUUAGGGAUACGAAGACGAUCAGAUACCGUCGUAGUACUUAACCAUAAACUAUGCCGACUAGGGAUCGGGACGAUAGUUAAUUUUUUAACUGUAACUUCGUUCGG